Molecule: non-coding RNA, 24 nt
Filed under: Arabidopsis thaliana (thale cress)
Lineage: Eukaryota; Viridiplantae; Streptophyta; Magnoliopsida; Brassicales; Brassicaceae
Source: RNAcentral
AUGCACACCGGUACCGACACCAGC